Molecule: ribosomal RNA, 253 nt
Filed under: uncultured bacterium
Lineage: Bacteria
Description: partial 16S ribosomal RNA
Rfam family: Bacterial small subunit ribosomal RNA
Source: RNAcentral
UACGGAGGGAGCUAGCGUUAUUCGGAAUUACUGGGCGUAAAGGGCUCGUAGGCGGCCAACUAAGUCAGAUGUGAAAGCCCCGGGCUCAACCUGGGAACUGCAUUUGAAACUGGCGGGCUUGAGUGUGGCAGAGGGGGGUGGAAUUCCGCGUGUAGCAGUGAAAUGCGUAGAGAUGCGGAGGAACACCGAUGGCGAAGGCAGCCCCCUGGGCCAACACUGACGCUCAGGCACGAAAGCGUGGGGAGCGAACAGG